This is a long non-coding RNA of Hemicordylus capensis (graceful crag lizard), 621 nucleotides long. RefSeq lists it as uncharacterized. The record is from RefSeq and is a predicted model, not a curated record. NCBI's taxonomy places the organism in Eukaryota, Metazoa, Chordata, Lepidosauria, Squamata, Cordylidae. The transcript is spliced from 3 exons.
GCCCACAGCACCACUCUGUAUAGCUGUGGGCUGCUUCGGAGAAGGCGAGCAGAAAACAAUAGAGGCAGACACUCAGAGCAUACAAAACUGCAGCAGCCAGCAGCCGAAUCAAAAUGGCAGACACAGAAAUUAUAGAGGGUGGUUAUAUAUAUUCAACUAUUUAUGGGCAGAAUAGAGAAAAGGAAAUACAUCUUCUCCUCUACAGGAGAUGCAAUUCCUCAGCCUAGUUUUCAUUAAAUUUCUUCCUUCCUGGGACGAGGUCUUCUCUGAUGAAAUACUUCUAUGAAAAGAAGCUGCAGAAGUGGUGGUGAGUGACUGUGAAAGUCUUUGAGGCUGCUAAAGGGUCAUGUGUCUGAAUGGGAGUUGAAUGCACAGAAAAAGCUAUUUCACUGUGCUCGUCUACAUUCAUUCAUAUAAGAUGAGGAGCCUCAGGCCUUAGAAUUCCACUGACUUUAAUUCCUGCUAUAAAAUCAUGAGAAGAUGAUUCCCAGUGUUUUGCUGGGCCACACAGUUUAUACAGUCAUCAUUUUUGUUAAUAAUGUACACAAAUAUGAUCUUUUUUAACCUAUAGCGGGUUUUUUUGUUGGUUAAAAGCAAUUUGAAAGACCCCCCCUCUUUUCU